This 497-nucleotide ribosomal RNA is filed under the name uncultured bacterium. RNAcentral's name for it is "partial 16S ribosomal RNA". It matches the Rfam family "Bacterial small subunit ribosomal RNA", at positions 28 to 507 of the family's 1533-position model. The record is from RNAcentral.
GAUGAACGCUGGCGGCGUGCCUAAUACAUGCAAGUCGAGCGAACGGACGAGAAGCUUGCGUCUCUGAUGUUAGCGGCGGACGGGUGAGUAACACGUGGAUAACCUACCUAUAAGACUGGGAUAACUUCGGGAAACCGGAGCUAAUACCGGAUGAUAUGUUGAACCGCAUGGUUCAAAAGUGAAAGACGGUCUUGCUGUCACUUAUAGAUGGAUCCGCGCUGCAUUAGCUAGUUGGUAAGGUAACGGCUUACCAAGGCAACGAUGCAUAGCCGACCUGAGAGGGUGAUCGGCCACACUGGAACUGAGGCACGGUCCAGACUCCUACGGGAGGCAGCAGUAGGGAAUCUUCCGCAAUGGGCGAAAGCCUGACGGAGCCACGCCGCGUGAGUGAUGAAGGUCUUCGGAUCGUAAAACUCUGUUAUUAGGGAAGAACAUAUGUGUAAGUAACUGUGCCCAUCUUGACGGUACCUAAUCAGAAAGCCACGGCUAACUACGUG